This 253-nucleotide unclassified non-coding RNA is filed under the name uncultured Solirubrobacteraceae bacterium. Its description in RNAcentral is "contains 16S-23S intergenic spacer region". It matches the Rfam family "Bacterial small subunit ribosomal RNA", at positions 524 to 776 of the family's 1533-position model. Lineage: Bacteria; Bacillati; Actinomycetota; Thermoleophilia; Solirubrobacterales; Solirubrobacteraceae. The record is from RNAcentral.
CACGUAGGGGGCAAAUGUUGUCCGGAAUCAUUGGGCGUAAAGCGCGUGUAGGCGGUCCGGUAAGUCCGCUGUGAAAGUCGGGGGCUCAACCCUCGAAAGCCGGUGGAUACUGUCGGGCUAGAGUACGGAAGAGGCGAGUGGAAUUCCUGGUGUAGCGGUGAAAUGCGCAGAUAUCAGGAGGAACACCAAUUGCGAAGGCAGCUCGCUGGGACGUUACUGACGCUGAGACGCGAAAGCGUGGGGAGCAAACAGG